CUGAUUUAUUUACUUUAUAUUAUUUAAAAUAUCUGAGUGCAUAUUGUUUCAUAUAUUCAUCUUUUUCACUGCAUUAUUAUGUGUCAUCAAUUCUAUAACAAAAUAUUUGGGGACAAACCAAUGAUCACUUUAGCUCUGCGGGAAACAACAGAAGUUUAUUUAACACUCUUAGCAUAUUGUUAUUACAAUGUACUAUAACAUAUAAAAUACAUAAUUUACUAUUCUUUUUUUUAAUUUAUGAAAGCAAAUACCGGGUAGACUUGAACGUACAAUUCAAA
RNAcentral lists this long non-coding RNA (278 nucleotides) under Mytilus galloprovincialis (Mediterranean mussel). Lineage: Eukaryota; Metazoa; Mollusca; Bivalvia; Mytilida; Mytilidae. The record is from RNAcentral.